Molecule: long non-coding RNA, 1012 nt
Organism: Prionailurus viverrinus (fishing cat)
Lineage: Eukaryota; Metazoa; Chordata; Mammalia; Carnivora; Felidae
Exons: 2
Source: RefSeq, a predicted model, not a curated record
CUCCUGACUCGCGGCCGCCCGGAUCCCGCGAGGCAUCGGUACCUCGCGAUGCUGUUCUACUUGGACAGAGCCCGCAGGGGGGACGGUGAGGCCCCAAGACCCACGCUUUCCGCGGGCGCCCCUCCGUGCUGUCUCUUGGGGGCUGCGGGAAGGGGGACCCAAGUCCCCCAGUUGUAUUGAUUUCGCUGCUUGACCCCCUUCCUGCGCACCCCUCUCGCUGACCCUAAAGACCUGAGGGAUCCCAAGGCAGGGGCUCUCAUAGAUGGAGGAAGGAGGCUGCCACCUGCAGUUUUGGAAGCUCCUGUUGGAUUAGAAACUUAAUGAAUGCCAAGAUAUGGUCGCAGAAACGGCAGUACAUUUUUAAACUUUACAUCAAGAACGACCUUUAAUGUUAGGUAGCCGUGCUAUUCAGGAGAUCGUUACUGGAUUUAGAGAGCCACCCUCCAGCCCAGACCCUGAGGAUCCAGAACAGUCUUCUUCAGACAGGAGCCACGGCUUAAUAUCUGAGACAUCCUCCCAACAAGGAGGUCUUAUUCUGGUUUUCAAAAGCUUCCAUUUGGGUGCAAUUGCAUCUUUUAUGAGCUGUUAGGAUAUGAGGCUUCUAAACCGCUCUUGUGAUAAAGUUCAAUUGGAAAUGUACACAAAGAAGGCACUGUGUGUCCCAGAUGAGAACACCAAGAGAAUGAAAUGUGGCUGGACUUAGAACAGAGACAACCACUUGGACUCUGGGACAAUGUUACCGGGUUUUACAAGUUAUAAAACAUCAUGCUUGGGAACCAAAAGAUUAUGUGUUCUCAGGUGUUGGGGGAAAUAACACAUCAGCCCUAGGUUUCAGGCAGUGGAAGUGACUGCCUCCUUCCUUAAGAGAUCUCUAGCAUUUGGUUCAUAAGAUUUGCCAAUUGGGUUUCAUUUGCCAUAUUGAGGUGAACUCAUGACCUUAUAAUUACCAUCGUUAUGUAUUAGGCUCCUCACGUAUGUCUGCUGGUUUUCAUUUAAACUUGAAAAUCCCUGA